Long non-coding RNA from Chrysoperla carnea, 323 nucleotides. RefSeq lists it as uncharacterized. NCBI's taxonomy places the organism in Eukaryota, Metazoa, Arthropoda, Insecta, Neuroptera, Chrysopidae. The record is from RefSeq and is a predicted model, not a curated record. The transcript has 3 exons.
AUGAGUUUAAAAAUCACUUAUUUAGUUUUAUUAACCAUACUAUCAUUUGUUCUAAUAAAAGAAACAAAUGGACAAGACGAGGAUGAAGGGCCAAAAGAUAUUACUAUAUUUGAUUUGGUUAAUUUCGUUGUAGAUACAAUAAAUUUUGUCCAAAAAAUGCGAUACGAUUUUUGUAAAAAAGCUCAACGUUUACUUCAAUUGGUUUACCAUGUAAAAUGUUAAAAAUAAACAAAUGGGCAGGAUGAUACGGAUCAGGACGAUGAUGAAGGCCCACACUAUAUUACUGUAUUUGAUUUGAUUUUUUUUGGAAUAAAAUUAAUAAA